Molecule: ribosomal RNA, 254 nt
Filed under: uncultured bacterium
Lineage: Bacteria
Description: partial 16S ribosomal RNA
Rfam family: Bacterial small subunit ribosomal RNA
Source: RNAcentral
UACGGGGGGAGCAAGCGUUGUUCGGAUUUACUGGGCGUAAAGGGCGCGUAGGCGGCCACCGCAAGUCAAUUGUGAAAUCUCCGGGCUUAACUCGGAAAGGUCAACUGAUACUGCGGGGCUAGAGUGCGGAAGGGGCAACUGGAAUUCUCGGUGUAGCGGUGAAAUGCGUAGAUAUCGAGAGGAACACCUGCGGCGAAGGCGGGUUGCUGGGCCGACACUGACGCUGAUGCGCGAAAGCCAGGGGAGCGAACGGG